UACAGAGGUCUCAAGCGUUGUUCGGAUUCAUUGGGCGUAAAGGGCUCGUAGGCGGCCAACUAAGUCGGACGUGAAAUCCCUCGGCUUAACCGGGGAACUGCGUCCGAUACUGGAUGGCUGGAGGUUGGGAGAGGGAUGCGGAAUUCCAGGUGUAGCGGUGAAAUGCGUAGAUAUCUGGAGGAACACCGGUGGCGAAGGCGGCAUCCUGGACCAAUUCUGACGCUGAGGAGCGAAAGCCAGGGGAGCAAACGGG
RNAcentral lists this ribosomal RNA (253 nucleotides) under uncultured bacterium. RNAcentral describes it as "partial 16S ribosomal RNA". It matches the Rfam family "Bacterial small subunit ribosomal RNA", at positions 524 to 776 of the family's 1533-position model. The record is from RNAcentral.